AGAGUUUGAUCCUGGCUCAGGAUGAACGCUGGCGGCGUGCCUAACCAUGCAAGUCGAACGGAGUCAUUUGAAGCUUGCUUUGGAUGACUUAGUGGCGAACGGGUGAGUAACGCGUGAGCAACCUGCCCUUGAGAGGGGGAUAACAUCGGGAAACCGAUGCUAAUACCGCAUGACAUAUACUGGUGGCAUCACCGGUAUAUCAAAGGAGCAAUCCGCUCAAGGAUGGGCUCGCGUCUGAUUAGCUAGUUGGUGAGGUAACGGCUCACCAAGGCGACGAUCAGUAGCCGGACUGAGAGGUUGACCGGCCACAUUGGGACUGAGACACGGCCCAGACUCCNUACGGGAGGCAGCAGUGGGGAAUAUUGGGCAAUGGGGGAAACCCUGACCCAGCAACGCCGCGUGAAGGAAGAAGGCCUUCGGGUUGUAAACUUC
RNAcentral lists this ribosomal RNA (432 nucleotides) under uncultured bacterium. RNAcentral describes it as "bacterial SSU rRNA". It matches the Rfam family "Bacterial small subunit ribosomal RNA", at positions 8 to 433 of the family's 1533-position model. The record is from RNAcentral.